ACACUCCUGCGGGAGGCAGCAGUGGGGAAUUUUGGACAAUGGGCGAAAGCCUGAUCCAGCCAUGCCGCGUGCAGGAUGAAGGCCUUCGGGUUGUAAACUGCUUUUGUACGGAACGAAACGGCCUUUUCUAAUAAAGAGGGCUAAUGACGGUACCGCAAGAAUAAGCACCGGCUAACUACGUGCCAGCAGCCGCGGUAAUACGUAGGGUGCAAGCGUUAAUCGGAAUUACUGGGCGUAAAGCGUGCGCAGGCGGUUAUGUAAGACAGUUGUGAAAUCCCCGGGCUCAACCUGGGAACUGCAUCUGUGACUGCAUAGCUAGAGUACGGUAGAGGGGGAUGGAAUUCCGCGUGUAGCAGUGAAAUGCGUAGAUAUGCGGAGGAACACCGAUGGCGAAGGCAAUCCCCUGGACCUGUACUGACGCUCAUGCACGAAAGCGUGGGGAGCAAACAGGAUUAGAUACCCGGGUAGUCCCAUGAU
This 477-nucleotide ribosomal RNA is filed under the name uncultured organism. RNAcentral describes it as "partial 16S ribosomal RNA". It matches the Rfam family "Bacterial small subunit ribosomal RNA", at positions 333 to 801 of the family's 1533-position model. The record is from RNAcentral.